RNAcentral lists this long non-coding RNA (1142 nucleotides) under Strigops habroptila (Kakapo). RNAcentral describes it as "lncRNA (ENSSHBG00005020446.1)". The record is from RNAcentral. Lineage: Eukaryota; Metazoa; Chordata; Aves; Psittaciformes; Psittacidae.
AAUCUUGGAUUUAGUCUUUGUUAGCUCAGAAAUGGGACCGAAUUGGUCAUGUUCCCACAGCACCUGUGUUGAAAGACAUCUUUCUGACGGUGGUUACUGUGUCUGGUGAGGAUGUGAAGAACAUGAGAGCAGCAAAAUGGUUUAAAAUAAAAAGUGCCUUAGCAGAAUAGUAGGUGCUGUUUGCCAAGCACAGGCGCACAUAACGUUAUCCUUUAGCCACUGCCAAUUAUCUCUAAUUUCUAUAAGUGAUGUACAUAUUUGGAUUUUCAGGAAGAGGAAAAAUGGAGGCAAAGGUGAAAAGCUGGUCUUUAUUUUUAACUGAAUUUCUUCUCUUGUAAUGCAAAUCUGGGUACUUUGAACUCUAACUCCUUUCAAUGCAGCCUGUUACAGUUGACUCUCUCACCCAACUAUCACACCAGCAAAGGCAAGUAAGAACAGUAAUUGCUUUAAAGGCUGAAUAAUUGUGCCUGAAUGCCAACAAGUGACGUUAUCUUUAUAACAAAAAACAAUUGCCCUGUUCUUACGGAAAUACAGAUUUCAUUGCAAAUAUGUUCACUUUAAAGCACACACAGUGCAAUAAAAUUACAGUGCUCUGCAGCAUUCAUCUCAGAUCUUCACAGCCACCCACCCAUUUACAAGUUGUGUCUUGCCAGCAGAAGAUUGUUGCUUGGUUUCUGUAAUAUUUUUGUAGCCUUGCUUUCCUCCACAUAAGCUUAGAGGUAGACUGUGCUCACUCCUUUCCUUUCAUCAGGUUAUUCUGCUGUAAAAAAAAUAAUUGGCUAGUAUGGAAAGUCUUUCACAUGACUCUAAAUGUGGUAUUCUUUUAUGUAGAAUAUACUCUGAGUAGUUUUUUCUAAUACCUUAAUGGCUCUGGUUUAUGUCAGUAAUUACAUGAAAGGUUAAUCUUUAAAUCACCAGCAUUUCCUAAAUUUCUAAUCAACUUCAUGCUUGGAAAGGAACCCACAUAAAUGCUCAAUUUGUUAAUAUUACACUGGGUUGAGCAGGUCAAGGAAAAAUAUAACCUUGGUGCAUAAUAAUAAAUUGAACACAGCAGAAACAUCUCGGAUCUGUUUGUCUUAAUAGCUAUGAAUAUGAAAGCUGAAUAUGAGGGGGAAUGAGGGUGGAUAUAAUUAGCAGGAGAA